GUACUCAUUUGACAGCACAUAUACUAAAAAUUGAAUGAUACAGAGAUUAGCACGAGCCCCUGUGCAAGGAUGACAUGCAAAUUCUGAAGCAUUCCAUAUUUUU
Molecule: small nuclear RNA, 103 nt
Filed under: Ursus thibetanus thibetanus
Lineage: Eukaryota; Metazoa; Chordata; Mammalia; Carnivora; Ursidae
Source: RNAcentral